GAGCAGAGCUUGCUCUGUGGAUCAGUGGCGAACGGGUGAGUAACACGUGAGCAAUCUGCCCCUGACUCUGGGAUAAGCGCUGGAAACGGCGUCUAAUACCGGAUACGAGCUGCGACCGCAUGGUCAGUAGCUGGAAAGAAUUUCGGUCAGGGAUGAGCUCGCGGCCUAUCAGCUUGUUGGUGAGGUAAUGGCUCACCAAGGCGUCGACGGGUAGCCGGCCUGAGAGGGUGACCGGCCACACUGGGACUGAGACACGGCCCAGACUCCUACGGGAGGCAGCAGUGGGGAAUAUUGCACAAUGGGCGCAAGCCUGAUGCAGCAACGCCGCGUGAGGGAUGACGGCCUUCGGGUUGUAAACCUCUUUUAGCAGGGAAGAAGCGAAAGUGACGGUACCUGCAGAAAAAGCGCCGGCUAACUACGUGCCAGCAGCCGCGGUAAUACGUAGGGCGCAAGCGUUAUCCGGAAUUAUUGGGCGUAAAGAGCUCGUAGGCGGUCUGUCGCGUCUGCUGUGAAAACCCGAGGCUCAACCUCGGGCCUGCAGUGGGUACGGGCAGACUAGAGUGCGGUAGGGGAGAUUGGAAUUCCUGGUGUAGCGGUGGAAUGCGCAGAUAUCAGGAGGAACACCGAUGGCGAAGGCAGAUCUCUGGGCCGUAACUGACGCUGAGGAGCGAAAGGGUGGGGAGCAAACAGGCUUAGAUACCCUGGUAGUCCACCCCGUAAACGUUGGGAACUAGUUGUGGGGUCCAUUCCACGGAUUCCGUGACGCAGCUAACGCAUUAAGUUCCCCGCCUGGGGAGUACGGCCGCAAGGCUAAAACUCAAAGGAAUUGACGGGGACCCGCACAAGCGGCGGAGCAUGCGGAUUAAUUCGAUGCAACGCGAAGAACCUUACCAAGGCUUGACAUAUAGAGGAAACGUCUGGAAACAGUCGCCCCGCAAGGUCUCUAUACAGGUGGUGCAUGGUUGUCGUCAGCUCGUGUCGUGAGAUGUUGGGUUAAGUCCCGCAACGAGCGCAACCCUCGUUCUAUGUUGCCAGCACGUAAUGGUGGGAACUCAUGGGAUACUGCCGGGGUCAACUCGGAGGAAGGUGGGGAUGACGUCAAAUCAUCAUGCCCCUUAUGUCUUGGGCUUCACGCAUGCUACAAUGGCCGGUACAAAGGGCUGCAAUACCGUGAGGUGGAGCGAAUCCCAAAAAGCCGGUCCCAGUUCGGAUUGAGGUCUGCAACUCGACCUCAUGAAGUCGGAGUCGCUAGUAAUCGCAGAUCAGCAACGCUGCGGUGAAUACGUUCCCGGGUCUUGUACACACCGCCCGUCAAGUCAUGAAAGUCGGUAACACCUGAAGCCGGUGGCC
RNAcentral lists this ribosomal RNA (1350 nucleotides) under Microbacterium arborescens. Its description in RNAcentral is "bacterial SSU rRNA". It matches the Rfam family "Bacterial small subunit ribosomal RNA", at positions 71 to 1435 of the family's 1533-position model. Lineage: Bacteria; Bacillati; Actinomycetota; Actinomycetes; Micrococcales; Microbacteriaceae. The record is from RNAcentral.